RNAcentral lists this ribosomal RNA (2876 nucleotides) under Acinetobacter baumannii. RNAcentral describes it as "bacterial LSU rRNA". It matches the Rfam family "Bacterial large subunit ribosomal RNA". Lineage: Bacteria; Pseudomonadati; Pseudomonadota; Gammaproteobacteria; Moraxellales; Moraxellaceae. The record is from RNAcentral.
GUUGUAUAGUCAAGUAAUUAAGUGCAUGUGGUGGAUGCCUUGGCAGUCAGAGGCGAUGAAAGACGUGAUAGCCUGCGAAAAGCUCCGGGGAGGCGGCAAAUAUCCUUUGAUCCGGAGAUGUCUGAAUGGGGGAACCCACCUACUUUAAGGUAGGUAUUGCAACAUGAAUACAUAGUGUUGCAAGGCGAACGAGGGGAAGUGAAACAUCUCAGUACCCUUAGGAAAAGAAAUCAAUUGAGAUUCCCUCAGUAGCGGCGAGCGAACGGGGAUCAGCCCAUUAAGUUAUGUGUGUUUUAGUGGAACGCUCUGGGAAGUGCGAACGUAGAGGGUGAUAUUCCCGUACACGAAAGGGCACACAUAAUGAUGACGAGUAGGGCGAGGCACGUGAAACCUUGUCUGAAUAUGGGGGGACCAUCCUCCAAGGCUAAAUACUCCUGACUGACCGAUAGUGAACCAGUACCGUGAGGGAAAGGCGAAAAGAACCCCUGUGAGGGGAGUGAAAUAGAUCCUGAAACCGCAUGCAUACAAGCAGUGGGAGCACCUUCGUGGUGUGACUGCGUACCUUUUGUAUAAUGGGUCAGCGACUUAUAUUCAGUAGCAAGGUUAACCGUAUAGGGGAGCCGUAGAGAAAUCGAGUCUUAAUAGGGCGUUUAGUUGCUGGGUAUAGACCCGAAACCAGGCGAUCUAUCCAUGAGCAGGUUGAAGGUUGGGUAACACUAACUGGAGGACCGAACCCACUGUCGUUGAAAAGCCAGGGGAUGACUUGUGGAUAGGGGUGAAAGGCUAAUCAAGCCUGGUGAUAGCUGGUUCUCCCCGAAAGCUAUUUAGGUAGCGCCUCGGACGAAUACCAUAGGGGGUAGAGCACUGUUUCGGCUAGGGGGUCAUCCCGACUUACCAAACCGAUGCAAACUCCGAAUACCUAUGAGUACUAUCCGGGAGACAGACUGCGGGUGCUAACGUCCGUAGUCAAGAGGAAAACAAUCCAGACCGCCAGCUAAGGCCCCAAAAUCAUAGUUAAGUGGGAAACGAUGUGGGAAGGCAUAGACAGCUAGGAGGUUGGCUUAGAAGCAGCCACCCUUUAAAGAAAGCGUAAUAGCUCACUAGUCGAGUCGGCCUGCGCGGAAGAUGUAACGGGGCUAAAACUAUGUGCCGAAGCUGCGGAUNNNNNNNNNNNNNNNNNNNAUGCUGGAGGUAUCAGAAGUGCGAAUGCUGACGUGAGUAACGACAAAACGGGUGAAAAACCCGUUCGCCGAAAGACCAAGGGUUCCAGUCCAACGUUAAUCGGGGCUGGGUGAGUCGACCCCUAAGGCGAGGCCGAAAGGCGUAGUCGAUGGGAAAAUGGUUAAUAUUCCAUUACUUCUGUGUAAUGCGAUGAGAGGACGGAGAAGGCUAAAUCAGCCUGGCGUUGGUUGUCCAGGUGAAAGGAUGUAGGCAUGUAUCUUAGGCAAAUCCGGGGUACUCUAUGCUGAGAUCUGAUAGCAAGCUGUACUUGUACAGCGAAGUGGUUGAUGCCAUGCUUCCAGGAAAAGUCUCUAAGCUUCAGUUACACAGGAAUCGUACCCGAAACCGACACAGGUGGUCAGGUCGAGUAGACCAAGGCGCUUGAGAGAACUCUGCUGAAGGAACUAGGCAAAAUGGUACCGUAACUUCGGGAGAAGGUACGCUGUUGUUGGUGAUGGAACUCGCUUCCUGAGCUGACGACAGCCGCAGAAACCAGGCCGCUGCAACUGUUUAUUAAAAACAUAGCACUCUGCAAACACGAAAGUGGACGUAUAGGGUGUGAUGCCUGCCCGGUGCUGGAAGGUUAAUUGAUGGGGUUAGCGUAAGCGAAGCUCUUGAUCGAAGCCCCAGUAAACGGCGGCCGUAACUAUAACGGUCCUAAGGUAGCGAAAUUCCUUGUCGGGUAAGUUCCGACCUGCACGAAUGGCAUAAUGAUGGCGGCGCUGUCUCCAGCAGAGGCUCAGUGAAAUCGAAAUCGCUGUGAAGAUGCAGUGUACCCGCGGCUAGACGGAAAGACCCCGUGAACCUUUACUGCAGCUUGACACUGAACUUUGACCUUACUUGUGUAGGAUAGGUGGGAGGCUUUGAAGCUGGAACGCUAGUUCCAGUGGAGCCGUCCUUGAAAUACCACCCUGGUAAUGUUGAGGUUCUAACUCUGUCCCGUGAUCCGGGACGAGGACCGUGUCUGGUGGGUAGUUUGACUGGGGCGGUCUCCUCCUAAAGAGUAACGGAGGAGUACGAAGGUGCGCUCAGCGUGGUCGGAAAUCACGCGUAGAGUAUAAAGGCAAAAGCGCGCUUAACUGCGAGACCCACAAGUCGAGCAGGUACGAAAGUAGGUCUUAGUGAUCCGGUGGUUCUGUAUGGAAGGGCCAUCGCUCAACGGAUAAAAGGUACUCUGGGGAUAACAGGCUGAUACCGCCCAAGAGUUCAUAUCGACGGCGGUGUUUGGCACCUCGAUGUCGGCUCAUCUCAUCCUGGGGCUGAAGCAGGUCCCAAGGGUAUGGCUGUUCGCCAUUUAAAGAGGUACGCGAGCUGGGUUUAGAACGUCGUGAGACAGUUCGGUCCCUAUCUACCGUGGGCGCUGGAAAUUUGAGAGGAUCUGCUCCUAGUACGAGAGGACCAGAGUGGACGAACCUCUGGUGUACCGGUUGUGACGCCAGUCGCAUCGCCGGGUAGCUAUGUUCGGAAGGGAUAACCGCUGAAAGCAUCUAAGCGGGAAGCCUACCUCAAGAUAAGAUUUCCCUAGGACUUUAUGUCCUCUAAAGAGCCGUUCGAGACUAGGACGUUGAUAGGUUGGAUGUGGAAGCAUAGUGAUAUGUGAAGCUGACCAAUACUAAUUGCUCGUGAGGCUUGACUAUACAACACCCAAGCAGUUG